Molecule: ribosomal RNA, 957 nt
Filed under: Stagonosporopsis bomiensis
Lineage: Eukaryota; Fungi; Ascomycota; Dothideomycetes; Pleosporales; Didymellaceae
Description: eukaryotic LSU rRNA
Rfam family: Eukaryotic large subunit ribosomal RNA
Source: RNAcentral
GGGAUUGCCCUAGUAACGGCGAGUGAAGCGGCAACAGCUCAAAUUUGAAAUCUGGCGUCUUUGGCGUCCGAGUUGUAAUUUGCAGAGGGCGCUUUGGCAUUGGCAGCGGUCCAAGUUCCUUGGAACAGGACGUCACAGAGGGUGAGAAUCCCGUACGUGGUCGCUAGCCUUUACCGUGUAAAGCCCCUUCGACGAGUCGAGUUGUUUGGGAAUGCAGCUCUAAAUGGGAGGUAAAUUUCUUCUAAAGCUAAAUACUGGCCAGAGACCGAUAGCGCACAAGUAGAGUGAUCGAAAGAUGAAAAGCACUUUGGAAAGAGAGUUAAAAAGCACGUGAAAUUGUUGAAAGGGAAGCGCUUGCAGCCAGACUUGCCUGUAGUUGCUCAUCCGGGUUUUUACCCGGUGCACUCUUCUAUAGGCAGGCCAGCAUCAGUUUGGGCGGUUGGAUAAAGGUCUCUGUCAUGUACCUCCUUUCGGGGAGAUCUUAUAGGGGAGACGACAUGCAACCAGCCUGGACUGAGGUCCGCGCAUCUGCUAGGAUGCUGGCGUAAUGGCUGUAAGCGGCCCGUCUUGAAACACGGACCAAGGAGUCUAACAUCUAUGCGAGUGUUUGGGUGUCAAGCCCGAACGCGUAAUGAAAGUGAACGGAGGUGGGAACCUUUCGGGGUGCACCAUCGACCGAUCCUGAUGUCUUCGGAUGGAUUUGAGUAAGAGCAUAGCUGUUGGGACCCGAAAGAUGGUGAACUAUGCUUGAAUAGGGUGAAGCCAGAGGAAACUCUGGUGGAGGCUCGCAGCGGUUCUGACGUGCAAAUCGAUCGUCAAAUUUGGGCAUAGGGGCGAAAGACUAAUCGAACUAUCUAGUAGCUGGUUCCUGCCGAAGUUUCCCUCAGGAUAGCAGUAACGUUUUCAGUUUUAUGAGGUAAAGCGAAUGAUUAGAGGCAUGGGGGUUGAAACAACCUU